RNAcentral lists this long non-coding RNA (287 nucleotides) under Cyanistes caeruleus (blue tit). RNAcentral's name for it is "lncRNA (ENSCCEG00000016999.1)". Lineage: Eukaryota; Metazoa; Chordata; Aves; Passeriformes; Paridae. The record is from RNAcentral.
CAAAGUAGGCACUCUGCCUCGUGUGCUGGGAAGAGUGAGUUCUCAAAAGCUCUAUCCAAAGUGGGCACCUGUCUGCAGUUUUAAUGGGAAGGAAGUAGUAUGGAAAUUGGAUGCACCCAUGAAGAGCACCUGUACUGAGCCCCUGAGCAGGAGACCUGGCAGGGAUGAGGGGCUGCUGUCUUCCCAGAGAAAAGACUCCAGGACCUUGAUGUGGAAGGCAGCCUGUUCUGGGGAAAAAAACAACCAUCUCAAAUAGCACUUGGGCAGUCAUGCCUUGGUAAGAGUCA